Molecule: transfer-messenger RNA, 374 nt
Filed under: Pseudonocardiaceae
Lineage: Bacteria; Bacillati; Actinomycetota; Actinomycetes; Pseudonocardiales
Also listed under: 2 other names
Description: Actinosynnema algeriense Standard tmRNA
Rfam family: transfer-messenger RNA
About the family: Bacterial tmRNA, also known as 10Sa RNA or SsrA, is named for its dual tRNA and mRNA-like properties.
Source: RNAcentral
GGGGGUGAACGGUUUCGACUUUGUGCGUUGAUUCAAGGGAAGCGUGCCGGUGCAGGCGAGAGACCACCGCAAGCGUCAUCGCAAACCAAUAAGCGCCGAGUCUAACGACCAGGCCGCUUACUCCCUCGCCGCCUGAGGCUAGGAGAGUGAGCUGUCAGCCCGGAGGUGCCUCCGCUCCGGAUGCUGGCAUCAGCUAGGGGGCUGACCUUCGUUCCCGGUCACGGGGAGCGCUAGGGACACUCACAGUGACUGGGCCCGCCACGGCGACUUGUCCGCGUGAUCGCCGGGGCCGAGCAGAGGCACAGCGGACUGCGCACGGAGAAGCCUUGAUGAAGCGGCAGAGGACCCGGGUUCGAUUCCCGGCACCUCCACCA